UGCAGUCGAGCGAAUGGAUUAAGAGCUUGCUCUUAUGAAGUUAGCGGCGGACGGGUGAGUAACACGUGGGUAACCUGCCCAUAAGACUGGGAUAACUCCGGGAAACCGGGGCUAAUACCGGAUAACAUUUUGAACCGCAUGGUUCGAAAUUGAAAGGCGGCUUCGGCUGUCACUUAUGGAUGGACCCGCGUCGCAUUAGCUAGUUGGUGAGGUAACGGCUCACCAAGGCAACGAUGCGUACCCGACCUGAGAGGGUGAUCGGCCACACUGGGACUGAGACACGGCCCAGACUCCUACGGGAGGCAGCAGUAGGGAAUCUUCCGCAAUGGACGAAAGUCUGACGGAGCAACGCCGCGUGAGUGAUGAAGGCUUUCGGGUCGUAAAACUCUGUUGUUAGGGAAGAACAAGUGCUAGUUGAAUAAGCUGGCACCUUGACGGUACCUAACCAGAAAGCCACGGCUAACUACGUGCCAGCAGCCGCGGUAAUACGUAGGUGGCAAGCGUUAUCCGGAAUUAUUGGGCGUAAAGCGCGCGCAGGUGGUUUCUUAAGUCUGAUGUGAAAGCCCACGGCUCAACCGUGGAGGGUCAUUGGAAACUGGGAGACUUGAGUGCAGAAGAGGAAAGUGAAUUCCAUGUGUAGCGGUGAAAUGCGUAGAGAUAUGGAGGAACACCAGUGGCGAAGGCGACUUUCUGGUCUGUAACUGACACUGAGCGCGAAAGCGUGGGGAGCAAACAGGAUUAGAUACCCUG
RNAcentral lists this ribosomal RNA (750 nucleotides) under Bacillus cereus. RNAcentral's name for it is "bacterial SSU rRNA". It matches the Rfam family "Bacterial small subunit ribosomal RNA", at positions 56 to 789 of the family's 1533-position model. Lineage: Bacteria; Bacillati; Bacillota; Bacilli; Caryophanales; Bacillaceae. The record is from RNAcentral.